GGCAGGGUAGCUCAGCGGUAGAGCACGAAAACGUUUCUCUAACCCUGGUUGUCCGCACCCCGACAAAUGCCGAAGGAAUUACAUUCCCGGGUCGCUAAUGUGCAGGUUCGAAUCCUGCUCCUGCCU
This 126-nucleotide transfer RNA is filed under the name Cardiobacterium hominis. RNAcentral's name for it is "tRNA-Xxx". It matches the Rfam family "tRNA". From Rfam's summary of the family: Transfer RNA (tRNA) molecules are approximately 80 nucleotides in length. Their secondary structure includes four short double-helical elements and three loops (D, anti-codon, and T loops). Lineage: Bacteria; Pseudomonadati; Pseudomonadota; Gammaproteobacteria; Cardiobacteriales; Cardiobacteriaceae. The record is from RNAcentral.